Molecule: long non-coding RNA, 151 nt
Organism: Solanum tuberosum (potato)
Lineage: Eukaryota; Viridiplantae; Streptophyta; Magnoliopsida; Solanales; Solanaceae
Exons: 2
Source: RefSeq, a predicted model, not a curated record
AAGACGGGAAAGGAAAUCCAGGCUGAUACCCAAGUUGCAAUAGCUGAACUUCAGAAUCGCCAAAAUUCUGGGGAAACAGCUGAUGAUGCAUUUAGGGCAGUGUUUGGAAAGGAGCAGCCUGGUCGACUUAGGUGCUAUGGUAGAUCAGUGA